AAAAUGUGAGAAAUUAUCUUCUAACCAUUUCAUAUCUAUUCGGUUACUACUAAACUUAUUCAGCAUAUUGCCUAAUAGUCGGUGGCAAAUUGGCCUUCAAUCCCCAUUGUGCAGUGCUCCCGUAACGACUACCACAUUUGUCACGCCCUAAAGGCGAUAAAUCCAAAAAGGGUGAGUAAGGUAUGUAUGUAAACUAUUUUGGCGCACUAUACUAGUAUAAUAUGCCACCCUAACUUGCCAACAAAUUAGAGUAUUG
Molecule: long non-coding RNA, 256 nt
Filed under: Gossypium barbadense (sea-island cotton)
Lineage: Eukaryota; Viridiplantae; Streptophyta; Magnoliopsida; Malvales; Malvaceae
Description: long non-coding RNA (GBAR_LNC020659)
Source: RNAcentral